This 497-nucleotide ribosomal RNA is filed under the name uncultured bacterium. RNAcentral describes it as "partial 16S ribosomal RNA". It matches the Rfam family "Bacterial small subunit ribosomal RNA", at positions 28 to 507 of the family's 1533-position model. The record is from RNAcentral.
GACGAACGCUGGCGGCGUGCCUAAUACAUGCAAGUAGAGCGCUGAAGGUUGGUACUUGUACCGACUGGCUGAGCAGCGAACGGGUGAGUAACGCGUGGGGAAUCUGCCUUUGAGCGGGGGACAACAUCUGGAAACGAAUGCUAAUACCGCAUAAAAACUUUAAACACAAGUUUUAAGAUUGAAAGAUGCAAUUGCAUCACUCAAUGAUGAUCACGCGUUGUAUUAGCUAGUUGGUGAGGUAAAGGCUCACCAAGGCGAUGAUACAUAGCCGACCUGAGAGGGUGAUCGGCCACAUUGGGACUGAGACACGGCCCAAACUCCUACGGGGGGCAGCAGUAGGGAAUCUUCGGCAAUGGACGAAAGUCUGACCGAGCAACGCCGCGGGAGUGAAGAAGGUUUUCGGAUCGUAAAACUCUGUUGGUAGAGAAGAACGUUGGUGAGAGUGGAAAGCUCAUCAAGUGACGGUAACUACCCAGAAAGGGACGGCUAACUACGUG